Molecule: long non-coding RNA, 497 nt
Filed under: Penaeus monodon (black tiger shrimp)
Lineage: Eukaryota; Metazoa; Arthropoda; Malacostraca; Decapoda; Penaeidae
Description: uncharacterized LOC119581063, transcript variant X1
Source: RNAcentral
GGGGCCGGAUACUCAAAACAACCCGUGGUGGCCCAGCAGUUCUGACAAACUACAGUCCUGUUGAAGAAGCUAUGCUGACACUGAUUGAGCCUGUUGCUAUUACUGGCUUACUAGGGGGUUUAUGAAAAUGAGACAGAAGUUGAUGAUGUUACAGAACCAACUCCUGGGCCAUCUGGGAUAGCAUCUCAGAUCAUAACAGACUCAGCAGUUAUUGUAACAUUGGAUGAGGGAACUUCAGCAGAGCAAGAAAUGACAAUACCCAUUGUGUCAAUGGACCACAUCCUCAGAAUUACCUCCUUUUUUAAUAGAACACAGUAACACUCAGGAUGGAUUUAGUGCAACAGUCCAACAAGCAGAGCACUUUCAAGAACAGAGCAUCUCAGCUUGAGUCAGGAGGAGGUAGUAGGCUUGAGGUAGUGCAUGGUCAAAAAAACAGAUCAGAAGAAAGGAAAAUUUUGCCUGACAUGCUUCAGGUACAAACAAAUAUAGAAAGUCAC